RNAcentral lists this ribosomal RNA (492 nucleotides) under uncultured bacterium. RNAcentral describes it as "partial 16S ribosomal RNA". It matches the Rfam family "Bacterial small subunit ribosomal RNA", at positions 29 to 507 of the family's 1533-position model. The record is from RNAcentral.
AGUGAACGCUGGCGGUAGGCCUAACACAUGCAAGUCGAACGGCAGCACAGUAAGAGCUUGCUCUUACGGGUGGCGAGUGGCGGACGGGUGAGGAAUACAUCGGAAUCUACUUUUUCGUGGGGGAUAACGUAGGGAAACUUACGCUAAUACCGCAUACGACCUACGGGUGAAAGCAGGGGAUCUUCGGACCUUGCGCGAUUGAAUGAGCCGAUGUCGGAUUAGCUAGUUGGCGGGGUAAAGGCCCACCAAGGCGACGAUCCGUAGCUGGUCUGAGAGGAUGAUCAGCCACACUGGAACUGAGACACGGUCCAGACUCCUACGGGAGGCAGCAGUGGGGAAUAUUGGACAAUGGGCGCAAGCCUGAUCCAGCCAUACCACGUGGGUGAAGAAGGCCUUCGGGUUGUAAAGCCCUUUUGUUGGGAAAGAAAAGCAGCAGGUUAAUACCCCGCCGUUCUGACGGUACCCAAAGAAUAAGCACCGGCUAACUUCGUG